GUCAUAGGUUUUCGUUUCCAGCGUGCUGCAAAUGUUUCUGCCGAAAAGAUGUUAAUACCGGAGAUAUUCAUGCUUUAGAAGUUUCCGAGGAAGAUGCAUGAAAGGCUAAUGAAGAUUUAUUAUUUGCAACUCAACUGUUACACAAUCAUCAAGCAUCAUUAGUUCAACAACAAGAUAAAGCUGUUAUUACAAA
This is a long non-coding RNA of Cyphomyrmex costatus, 193 nucleotides long. RefSeq lists it as uncharacterized. The transcript is spliced from 3 exons. Lineage: Eukaryota; Metazoa; Arthropoda; Insecta; Hymenoptera; Formicidae. The record is from RefSeq and is a predicted model, not a curated record.